This 497-nucleotide ribosomal RNA is filed under the name uncultured bacterium. RNAcentral describes it as "partial 16S ribosomal RNA". It matches the Rfam family "Bacterial small subunit ribosomal RNA", at positions 28 to 507 of the family's 1533-position model. The record is from RNAcentral.
GACGAACGCUGGCGGCGUGCCUAAUACAUGCAAGUUGAGCGCUGAAGGUUGGUACUUGUACCAACUGGAUGAGCAGCGAACGGGUGAGUAACGCGUGGGGAAUCUGCCUUUGAGCGGGGGACAACAUUUGGAAACGAAUGCUAAUACCGCAUAAAAACUUUAAACACAAGUUUUAAGUUUGAAAGAUGCAAUUGCAUCACUCAAAGAUGAUCCCGCGUUGUAUUAGCUAGUUGGUGAGGUAAAGGCUCACCAAGGCGAUGAUACAUAGCCGACCUGAGAGGGUGAUCGGCCACAUUGGGACUGAGACACGGCCCAAACGCCUACGGGAGGCAGCAGAAGGGAAUCUUCGGCAAUGGACGAAAGUCUGACCGAGCAACGCCGCGUGAGUGAAGAAGGUUGUCGGAUCGUAAAACUCUGUUGGUAGAGAAGAACGUUGGUGAGAGUGGAAAGCUCAUCAAGUGACGGUAACUACCCAGAAAGGGACGGCUAACUACGUG